GAUGAAGAACGCAGCGAAAUGCGAUAAGUAGUGUGAAUUGCAGAAUUCAGUGAAUCAUCGAAUCUUUGAACGCACAUUGCGCCCUUUGGUAUUCCUUAGGGCAUGCCUGUUCGAGCGUCAUUUAAACCUUCAAGCUAAGCUUGGUGUUGGGUGACUGUCCGCUUCACGGCGGACUCGCCUCGAAAUUAUUGGCGGCCGGUACAUUGGCUUCGAGCGCAGCAGAAACGCGAACUCGGGCCCGUCGUAUUGGCUCCCAGAAGCUAUCUUCACAAUUUUGACCUCGGAUCAGGUAGGGAUACCCGCUGAACUUAAGCAUAUCAAUAAGCGGAGGA
Molecule: unclassified non-coding RNA, 332 nt
Filed under: soil metagenome
Description: partial contains 5.8S ribosomal RNA, internal transcribed spacer 2, and large subunit ribosomal RNA
Rfam family: 5.8S ribosomal RNA (bases 1-120)
Source: RNAcentral